RNAcentral lists this ribosomal RNA (375 nucleotides) under uncultured bacterium. RNAcentral's name for it is "bacterial SSU rRNA". It matches the Rfam family "Bacterial small subunit ribosomal RNA", at positions 523 to 898 of the family's 1533-position model. The record is from RNAcentral.
AUACGUAGGGGGCGAGCGUUGUCCGGAAUUACUGGGCGUAAAGGGUGCGUAGGCGGAUAUGCAAGUCCGAUGUGAAAUGUUACGGCUUAACCGUGGAGUUGCAUUGGAAACUGUGUAUCUAGAGUGCAGGAGAGGGAAGCGGAAUUCCUAGUGUAGCGGUGAAAUGCGUAGAUAUUAGGAGGAACACCAGUGGCGAAGGCGGCUUCCUGGACUGCAACUGACGCUGAGGCACGAAAGCUGGGGUAGCGAACAGGAUUAGAUACCCUGGUAGUCCCAGCCUUAAACGAUGGGUACUAGGUGUUGUCACUUCAUUGUGGCAGUGCCGGAGUUAACGCAAUAAGUACCCCGCCUGGGGAGUACGGCCGCAAGGCUGAA